CCUACGGGAGGCUGCAGUGAGGAAUAUUGGUCAAUGGACGAGAGUCUGAACCAGCCAAGUAGCGUGAAGGAUGACUGCCCUAUGGGUUGUAAACUUCUUUUAUAUGGGAAUAAAACGUUCCACGUGUGGGAUUUUGUAUGUACCAUAUGAAUAAGGAUCGGCUAACUCCGUGCCAGCAGCCGCGGUAAUACGGAGGAUCCGAGCGUUAUCCGGAUUUAUUGGGUUUAAAGGGAGCGUAGGUGGAUUGUUAAGUCAGUUGUGAAAGUUUGCGGCUCAACCGUAAAAUUGCAGUUGAAACUGGCAGUCUUGAGUACAGUAGAGGUGGGCGGAAUUCGUGGCGUAGCGGUGAAAUGCUUAGAUAUCACGAAGAACUCCGAUUGCGAAGGCAGUUCACUGGACUGCAACUGACACUGAGGCUCGAAAGUGUGGGUAUCAAACAGGAUUAGAUACCCCUGUAGUC
RNAcentral lists this ribosomal RNA (460 nucleotides) under uncultured bacterium. Its description in RNAcentral is "partial 16S ribosomal RNA". It matches the Rfam family "Bacterial small subunit ribosomal RNA", at positions 338 to 795 of the family's 1533-position model. The record is from RNAcentral.